Molecule: non-coding RNA, 113 nt
Organism: Danio rerio (zebrafish)
Lineage: Eukaryota; Metazoa; Chordata; Actinopteri; Cypriniformes; Danionidae
Source: Rfam
AAUUACAGCCAUAUCACCCUGCAGCCCAAGACCGGUUACUCACUGAAGCUAAGCAGGGCUGAGCCUGGUCAAUACCUGGGAGACCACAUGAGAAAACUAGGUUGCUGUUGGAA